Molecule: long non-coding RNA, 1037 nt
Filed under: Cyanistes caeruleus (blue tit)
Lineage: Eukaryota; Metazoa; Chordata; Aves; Passeriformes; Paridae
Description: lncRNA (ENSCCEG00000001508.1)
Source: RNAcentral
GGGGGAGGAGAGGACAGGGGGGCGAGGGAGCCUUUCCAUGGGAAUCCGGGGCUGGAUCCUCGCCCUGCGCCCGCUGUCCCCGUCCCGCUGCUCCCAUCCCGGCCUUGCUUCCCACAAAGCCCAGAAGUUGCUGCCUGAGCGGGGAAGGAAAGGGACAUCAAACAUUUAUAGGCCUUGGGAAUCGUCAGGGAAAUGUCUGGUUCUGUUAAAACAGCAGCAGCAGCAGCAGCGGUUGGGGAAGAGGGAAAAAUAAAAAAAGCCCAACUCAACGGGGCUCUUGCGUUUUCCCAAUGUUAUCCCAGUGUUAUCCCAGUGUUGUUAUCCCAGCGUUAUCCCUGCGUUAUCCCGGAGUCAUCCCAGCGUUAUCCCAGCGUUAUCCCAGGGUUAUCCCAGAGUUAUUCCAAUGUUAUCCCAGCGUUAUCCCAGCGUUUUCCCAACGUUAUCUCAGUGUUAUCCCAGCAUUAUCCCUGCGUUAUCCCAGAGUCAUCCCAGCGUUUUCCCAAUGUUAUCUCAGUGUUAUCCCAGCAUUAUCCCGGCGUUUUCCCAACGUUAUCCCAGUGUUUUCCCAGUGUUGUUAUCCCAGCUUUAUCAGAGUUAUCCCAGCGUUUUCCCAGUGUUUUCCCAAUGUUAUCUCAGUGUUAUCCCAGCGUUAUCCCAGGGUUAUCCCAGGGUUAUCCCAGCGUUAUCCCAGAGUUAUUCCAAUGUUAUCCCAGCAUUAUCCCAGAGUUUUCCCAGAGUUAUCCCAGAGUUGUCCCAGAGUAAUCCCAGCGUUUUCCCAGCAUUAUCCCAGCGUUGUUAUCCCAGCGUUAUCCCAGUGUUAUCCCAGUGUUAUCCCAGCGUUGUUAUCCCAGUGUUAUCCCAGCGUUAUCCCAGCGUUAUCCCAGUGUUAUCCCAGCGUUUUCCCAGUGUUUUCCCAGCGUUAUCCCAUCCUCAGCCGGGGUCACAGCUCCGGGUUGGGCUCCCCAAGCUCUGAACCCGAGCUCGUGGCUCUCCGGACACAUCCCAGCCCCAGCCCUGGCCUAAACCCAAAGGGCAGC